RNAcentral lists this ribosomal RNA (632 nucleotides) under Caenorhabditis briggsae. Its description in RNAcentral is "partial large subunit ribosomal RNA". It matches the Rfam family "Eukaryotic large subunit ribosomal RNA", at positions 461 to 949 of the family's 3401-position model. The record is from RNAcentral. Lineage: Eukaryota; Metazoa; Nematoda; Chromadorea; Rhabditida; Rhabditidae.
UUCAAGAAGAACCGGUUGAAAACCGCUUGGGAGUGGGAGACCGGGAGAGAGUUUGAAUGUCUGCUCUGGAGAGCAAGUUUUGGUUGGCUCGGUUCGCUUCAGUUUGUUGAUUCGUUCGCUCGGAUUGUUCGUUUUCCUAUCGCUACGCUCGACGGCGUUUGGUUCGCUUCGUUUCUGGCCCGAUAGUGUUGCCCAGCUUCGCAAGAGUACGGUGUCUUCGUUAUUCGGUCGUUGGUUCGUGGUGGCUAGCGUUUAGUUACGCUAGUGUGUGUGACGUCGGUGUGAAAGUCGACGACGUUUCCGACCCGUCUUGAAACACGGAUUGCGGAGUGCUUGUCUACUGCGAGUCAAAGGGUGUUAAAACCUUGCGGCGAAAUGAAAGUGAAGGUCAGUCUUGAAUUGGCCGACGUGGGAUCGGUGCUCCUCGGAGUGCUGCGCACCACGGCCCUGUGCGUGUCACUUGUGACUGUGCAGAGGUUGAGCAGUUGGCAAACGACCCGAAAGAUGGUGAACUAUGCCUGAGCAGGAUGAAGCCAGAGGAAACUCUGGUGGAAGUCCGUAUCGGUUCUGGACGUGCAAAUCGAUCGAUAGACUUGGGUAUAGGGGCGAAAGACUAAUCGAACCAUCUAGUA